UCCAGACUCCUACGGGAGGCAGCAGUGAGGAAUAUUGGUCAAUGGACGCAAGUCUGAACCAGCCAAGUAGCGUGCAGGAUGACGGCCCUCCGGGUUGUAAACUGCUUUUAGUUGGGAAUAAAAGGGGGCUCGUGAGCCCCGUAUUGUAUGUACCAUCAGAAAAAGGACCGGCUAAUUCCGUGCCAGCAGCCGCGGUAAUACGGAGGAUGCGAGCGUUAUCCGGAUUUAUUGGGUUUAAAGGGUGCGUAGGCGGGCAUUUAAGCCGGCGGUCAAAUGUCGGGGCUCGACCCCGGCCUGCCGUCGGAACUGGGUGCCUUGAGUGGGCGAGAAGUAUGCGGAAUGCGUGGUGUAGCGGUGAAAUGCAUAGAUAUCACGCAGAACUCCGAUUGCGAAGGCAGCAUACCGGCGCCCAACUGACGCUGAAGCACGAAAGCGUGGGUAUCGAACAGGAUUAGAUACCCGCGUAU
Molecule: ribosomal RNA, 467 nt
Filed under: uncultured bacterium
Lineage: Bacteria
Description: bacterial SSU rRNA
Rfam family: Bacterial small subunit ribosomal RNA
Source: RNAcentral